Molecule: transfer RNA, 90 nt
Filed under: Nitrososphaerota archaeon
Lineage: Archaea; Thermoproteati; Nitrososphaerota
Description: Thaumarchaeota archaeon tRNA-Lys
Rfam family: tRNA
About the family: Transfer RNA (tRNA) molecules are approximately 80 nucleotides in length.
Source: RNAcentral
GGGUUCGUAGCUCAGCCAGGUAGAGCGUCUGGCUCUUAACCAGUCUCAAAAAGGGUUAAAAUGUCGUGGCUCCGAAUCCCACCGAACCCG